This 198-nucleotide unclassified non-coding RNA is filed under the name rhizosphere metagenome. RNAcentral's name for it is "partial ribosomal RNA internal transcribed spacer region". The record is from RNAcentral.
GUAGGUGAACCUGUGGAAGGAUCAUUAUCACAAGAAUCAAUGUAUAAACUAUUGUGCAUUGUCACCUAGGUUGAAUUCUGACAUGUAACAAUUGAAACCCCUUUUAAACUUUGAACUAAAGUUUCAUACUCCAAUAAAACGGAGAUGAAAUUCUUACGAAACAAAGAACAACUCUUAGCAACGGAUAUCUUGGUUCUC